GAUCAUUACCGAGUUUACAACUCCCAAACCCAUGUGAACAUACCUUUACGUUGCUUCGGCGGAGCCGCCCCGGCGCCCGGAACCUCUUCGGUUUCGCGGCCCGGAACCAGGCGCCCGCCGGAGGCCACAAACUCUUUUGUUUUUACAGUUUCUUCUGAGUGUGCCGCAAGGCAAAAUACAAAUGAAUCAAAACUUUCAACAACGGAUCUCUUGGUUCUGGCAUCGAUGAAGAACGCAGCGAAAUGCGAUAAGUAAUGUGAAUUGCAGAAUUCAGUGAAUCAUCGAAUCUUUGAACGCACAUUGCGCCCGCCAGAAUUCUGGCGGGCAUGCCUGUUCGAGCGUCAUUUCAACCCUCGAGCUCCCCUCUUUUUGGGAGAGCCCGGCGUUGGGGACCCGGCGCUAACACCGCCGGCCCCGAAAUGGAGUGGCGGCCCGUCCGCGGCGACCUCUGCGUAGUAAUAUCCACUCGCACCGGGACCCGGGCGCGGCCACGCCGUUAAACACCCCACCUUCCGAAUGUUGACCUCGAAUCAGGUAGGAAUACCCGCUGAACUUAAGCAUAUCAAUAA
Molecule: unclassified non-coding RNA, 569 nt
Filed under: Parengyodontium album
Lineage: Eukaryota; Fungi; Ascomycota; Sordariomycetes; Hypocreales; Cordycipitaceae
Description: sequence contains 18S rRNA gene, ITS1, 5.8S rRNA gene, ITS2, 28S rRNA gene
Rfam family: 5.8S ribosomal RNA (bases 191-344)
Source: RNAcentral